CGUACCUAUCACAUGUAUAAGCCCCUGUUGCCUGAAAAUAAUAGGAUAGCCGGAGAGACAUAAGUGAUUAAUAUAGUGAGGGCUAAGUUGAACCAACUUAUAUAGGGGAAAUAAUGUUGUAGAAAGGGUUGAGAACCGGAAAAAGCAUCGAUACUGAAGAAAACAAAAACAGUAUCAGUAUCAACAAGAAAAUAACAAACAAAGAAUGUGUACCGG
Non-coding RNA from Pelobates cultripes (western spadefoot toad), 216 nucleotides. The record is from the annotation of a GenBank genome assembly. NCBI's taxonomy places the organism in Eukaryota, Metazoa, Chordata, Amphibia, Anura, Pelobatidae.